RNAcentral lists this ribosomal RNA (1458 nucleotides) under uncultured marine bacterium. RNAcentral describes it as "partial 16S ribosomal RNA". It matches the Rfam family "Bacterial small subunit ribosomal RNA". The record is from RNAcentral.
AGAGUUUGAUCCUGGCUCAGGAUGAACGCUAGCGGUAUGCUUAACACAUGCAAGUCGUACGAGAGUUUUUAACUCUAGUGGCGGACGGGUGAGUAACGCGUGAGAAUUUGCCUGUAGGAGGGAAAUAACAGUAGGAAACUGCUGCUAAAGUCCCAUAUGCCUUUUGGUGAAAUAGAGUAAUCUGCCUACAGAAAAGCUCGCGUCUGAUUAGCUUGUUGGUAGGGUAAAGGCCUACCAAGGCGAUGAUCAGUAGUUGGUCUGAGAGGAUGGUCAGCCACACUGGGACUGAGACACGGCCCAGACUCCUACGGGAGGCAGCAGUGAGGAAUUUUCCGCAAUGGGCGAAAGCCUGACGGAGCAAUACCGCGUGAGGGAUGACGGCCUUUGGGUUGUAAACCUCUUUUUUCAAGGAGGAAGUUCUGACGUGUACUUGAAGAAUAAGCAUCGGCUAACUCCGUGCCAGCAGCCGCGGUAAGACGGAGGAUGCAAGUGUUAUCCGGAAUUAUUGGGCGUAAAGCGUCUGUAGGUUACCUAGCAAGUCUAUUGUUAAAGGUUAAAGCUCAACUUUAAAACUGCAGUAGAAACUGCUAGGCUCGAGUAUAGUCGAAGUAAAGGGAAUUUCCAGUGAAGCGGUGAAAUGCGUAGAUAUAGGAAGGAACAUCAGUGGCGAAGGCGACGCCCUGGCUUGAUACUGACACUGAGGUGCGAAAGCGUGGGGAGCAAACGGGAUUAGAUACCCUGGUAGUCCACGCCGUAAACGAUGUCUACUAGCCGUUGGGGGACUUGAUCCCCUAGUGGCGAAGCUAACGCGAUAAGUAGACCGCCUGGGGAGUACGGUCGCAAGAUUAAAGCUCAAAUGAAUUGACGGGGGCCCGCACAAGCGGUGGAGCAUGUGGUUUAAUUCGACGCAACGCGAAAAACCUUACCUGGUCUUGACAUCCUGCGAACUUUCUAGAGAUAGAUUGGUGCCUUCGGGAACGCAGUGACAGGUGCUGCAUGGCUGUCGUCAGCUCGUGUCGUGAGAUGUUGGGUUAAGUCCCGUAACGAGCGCAACCCUUGUCCUUAUUUGCAAGCACGUCAAUGGUGGGAACUCUAAGGAGACUGCCGGUGACAAACCGGAGGAAGGUGGGGGCGACGUCCAGUCAUCAUGGCCCUUAUGACCAGGGCUACACACGUGCUACAAUGGAGCGUACAGAGGGUUGCUAAGCCGCGAGGUGGAGCCAAUCCCAGAAAACGUUUCGGUAGUACGGAUCGAAGUCUGCAACUGCGAUUUCGUGAAGUCGGAAUCGUAUAGUAAUCGCGAAUCAGCAUGUCGCGGUGAAUACGUUCCCGGGCCUUGUACACACCGCCCGUCACACCAUGGGAGUGGGUUGCAAAAGAAGUGGUUAGUCUAACCUUCGGGAGUAACGGUCACCACUUUGUGAUUCAUGACUGGGGUGAAGUCGUAACAAGGUAACC